This 99-nucleotide ribosomal RNA is filed under the name Astrothelium aeneum. RNAcentral describes it as "partial 18S ribosomal RNA". Lineage: Eukaryota; Fungi; Ascomycota; Dothideomycetes; Trypetheliales; Trypetheliaceae. The record is from RNAcentral.
AAGUCGUAACAAGGUCUCUGUAGGUGAACCUGUGAGUAUCUUCUGAACCUCUGAUUAUGUAACAUAUUACUAACAUUAUAAUAGGCGGAGGGAUCAUUA